CGCUGGCGGCAGGCCUAACACAUGCAAGUUGAGCGGAUGAAGAGAGCUUGCUCCUGAAUUCAGCGGCGGACGGGUGAGUAAUGCCUAGGAAUCUGCCUGGUAGUGGGGGACAACGUUUCGAAAGGAACGCUAAUACCGCAUACGUCCUACGGGAGAAAGCAGGGGACCUUCGGGCCUUGCGCUAUCAGAUGAGCCUAGGUCGGAUUAGCUAGUUGGUGAGGUAAUGGCUCACCAAGGCGACGAUCCGUAACUGGUCUGAGAGGAUGAUCAGUCACACUGGAACUGAGACACGGUCCAGACUCCUACGGGAGGCAGCAGUGGGGAAUAUUGGACAAUGGGCGAAAGCCUGAUCCAGCCAUGCCGCGUGUGUGAAGAAGGUCUUCGGAUUGUAAAGCACUUUAAGUUGGGAGGAAGGGCAUUAACCUAAUACGUUAGUGUUUUGACGUUACCGACAGAAUAGGCACCGGCU
RNAcentral lists this ribosomal RNA (469 nucleotides) under uncultured bacterium. Its description in RNAcentral is "bacterial SSU rRNA". It matches the Rfam family "Bacterial small subunit ribosomal RNA", at positions 34 to 498 of the family's 1533-position model. The record is from RNAcentral.